RNAcentral lists this ribosomal RNA (423 nucleotides) under uncultured bacterium. RNAcentral describes it as "bacterial SSU rRNA". It matches the Rfam family "Bacterial small subunit ribosomal RNA", at positions 207 to 622 of the family's 1533-position model. The record is from RNAcentral.
AAGACCUUGCGCUUUUGGAGCGGCCGAUGCCUGAUUAGCUUGUUGGUAAGGUAAAAGCUUACCAAGGCUUCGAUCAGUAGCUGGUCUGAGAGGACGACCAGCCACACUGGGACUGAGACACGGCCCAGACUCCUACGGGAGGCAGCAGUGGGGAAUUUUGGACAAUGGGGGCAACCCUGAUCCAGCCAUGCCGCGUGAGUGAAGAAGGCCUUCGGGUUGUAAAGCUCUUUCAGCCGGAACGAAACGGUUACGGAUAACACCCGUGAUUACUGACGGUACCGGAAGAAGAAGCACCGGCUAACUACGUGCCAGCAGCCGCGGUAAUACGUAGGGUGCGAGCGUUAAUCGGAAUUACUGGGCGUAAAGCGUGCGCAGGUGGUUUUGUAAGUCAGAUGUGAAAGCCCCGGGCUCAACCUGGGAACU